CAGCCGUGUGUUCAGCCCAUAGCGGACUAUUCUUUCGCCUUUUACUAAAGAAUACCGUGCGCGGGACACAGAAGCGGCUUAUCUAAAUAUUUGGAACGCUUCUUCAUUGGGGCAC
RNAcentral lists this small nuclear RNA (115 nucleotides) under Marchantia polymorpha subsp. ruderalis. RNAcentral's name for it is "U5 spliceosomal RNA". It matches the Rfam family "U5 spliceosomal RNA". Rfam says of the family: U5 RNA is a component of both types of known spliceosome. The precise function of this molecule is unknown, though it is known that the 5' loop is required for splice site selection and p220 binding, and that both the 3' stem-loop and the Sm site are important for Sm protein binding and cap methylation. Lineage: Eukaryota; Viridiplantae; Streptophyta; Marchantiopsida; Marchantiales; Marchantiaceae. The record is from Rfam by way of RNAcentral.